This 256-nucleotide ribosomal RNA is filed under the name uncultured bacterium. RNAcentral's name for it is "partial 16S ribosomal RNA". It matches the Rfam family "Bacterial small subunit ribosomal RNA", at positions 524 to 776 of the family's 1533-position model. The record is from RNAcentral.
GACGGGGGGUGCAAGCGUUGUUCGGAAUCAUUGGGCGUAAAGCGUGUGCAGGUGGCUCUGCAAGUCAGAUGUGAAAGCCCCGGGCUUAACCCGGGAAGUGCAUUUGAAACUGCAGAGCUUGAGUAUGGAAGAGGGUCGUGGAAUUCCAGGUGUAGUGGUGAAAUACGUAGAUAUCUGGAGGAACACCCGGUGGCGAAGGCGGCGACCUGGUCCAAUACUGACACUCAUACACGAAAAGCGUGGGGAUCAAAACAGG